AUUUUGUCGACACAUCAAAGCAACUAUGUAUUGACCUCUUUUACUUAAUUUGAAGAACUAAGCAAACCAACAUGCUGAUUUGUUGUGUGGAGCAGGAACAAGAGAUCAUCAUCAUCAUCAUCAUAGUUUUAUACAAAAUAGUAUGCAAGUCCUGUGUAUUAAAGAACACUUCUUUGUAAGUAUCGUGAUGAACUCACUAGGUGAAGAAAUACGUUCUUUCCAAUGGAUAACUAAUAUUUAAAGAUAGGCAUCAUUGGGCGUCAGAACGUCGGGAAUUCAAGUCUUUGAAAUACAUGGAGAAAAAGUGAAAAAAAUUAUUGCAGAAGUCGCUGGAACUACUCGAGACGUAGUGGAACCACAAAAAACUUGCACCAUAGAAGAAUGCUUCGAGAAAAGUAAUAAUAAGGUGGAGAAAGUGAAGAACUGUACAUGGGACAAACAACUGGAAAAGUGUUCUUCAAACUAUCAUGUCAGGCUGAAAAUGGGAAUCAAACAUCUCCUGAGACUUUUUGGGAUAGUGACCAACUUGGUUUAUUCGGUUACAGUCAGAAAUG
Long non-coding RNA from Brassica oleracea var. oleracea, 554 nucleotides. RefSeq lists it as uncharacterized. Lineage: Eukaryota; Viridiplantae; Streptophyta; Magnoliopsida; Brassicales; Brassicaceae. The record is from RefSeq and is a predicted model, not a curated record. The transcript has 3 exons.